UACGUAGGGUCCGAGCGUUGUCCGGAAUUAUUGGGCGUAAAGAGCUCGUAGGCGGCUUGUCGCGUCGACUGUGAAAUCCCGCGGCUCAACCGCGGGUCUGCAGUCGAUACGGGCAGGCUAGAGUUCGGUAGGGGAGACUGGAAUUCCUGGUGUAGCGGUGAAAUGCGCAGAUAUCAGGAGGAACACCGGUGGCGAAGGCGGGUCUCUGGGCCGAUACUGACGCUGAGGAGCGAAAGCGUGGGGAGCGAACAGG
RNAcentral lists this ribosomal RNA (253 nucleotides) under uncultured bacterium. RNAcentral's name for it is "partial 16S ribosomal RNA". It matches the Rfam family "Bacterial small subunit ribosomal RNA", at positions 524 to 776 of the family's 1533-position model. The record is from RNAcentral.